Molecule: long non-coding RNA, 741 nt
Organism: Cherax quadricarinatus
Lineage: Eukaryota; Metazoa; Arthropoda; Malacostraca; Decapoda; Parastacidae
Source: RefSeq, a predicted model, not a curated record
AGGGCCAUCCUUGAAAAAGUAUUACCACUUUCAUGGAGGGGCGCUAUUACUCGUAGGGAUCAUGCAACUAGUUAGAAAAUAGGAGGAAAUCAGGUUCUGUUCAAGGAAACGGAUGAUAGGUCUAAUUCCCUGGAUCAAGAUCCCCAUUGUAAGAAGUGUAAAUAAGAAGAGUUGCACCUUGAGCGUAGUUACAGCGCAGCUUUCACUUACAGCAUCAGGACUAUAUAACCAGACACGAACAACCUAAACCACAGUUCUUCAUCACUUUUCACAGAGUCAACAUGGUGGCCUUCAAGCGUGUACAGUAUUAUAAAGUGAGUGCCCAAAGAACAAAUUCACAUCUUGACCCAACAUGACCUCCAAGAAAGUGAACACUGCAUCCACUGCCAAUCCUUUACCUAAUUUCUUAAUGUUGGUAUGCUACUGUCACUCCCUCUGCAAUGACUGUUUAUAUCACUUGAGUUAUUGAAAGUCUUUAUGCACAGUUUGCCUCGUGACAUUAUCAAUGAAAGAGUUCACUUCAACAGUGUAACCUAGUUUCAGAUAUCUCACUUAUGUAACUCAAUCUUUGUCUGCUUAGGUUCAUUCUAUCACAAAACAGACUUGUAGGUAACAUUAGGAAGUGUUAUAGGAUUAGUAAGACACGUGUGACUAUUUAUUAUAAAGUUUCAAAUGUUACUUUGUUAAGUUUAGUUUGUUUUUCAGGAACAAAAUCUUUUGUAAUAAAAUAUAAAAAUGAAA